UACGGAGGGUGCAAACGUUGCUCGGAAUCACUGGGCGUAAAGCGCACGUAGGCGGCUCGAAAAGUCGGAUGUGAAAGCCCUGGGCUCAACCUAGGAAGUGCAUUCGAAACUGCCGAGCUUGAGUACGGGAGAGGGUUGCGGAAUUCCUGGUGUAGCGGUGAAAUGCGCAGAUAUCAGGAAGAACACCCGUGGCGAAGGCGGUUCUCUGGAACGCAACUGACGCUGAGACGCGAAAGCGUGGGGAGCAAACAGG
RNAcentral lists this ribosomal RNA (253 nucleotides) under uncultured bacterium. Its description in RNAcentral is "partial 16S ribosomal RNA". It matches the Rfam family "Bacterial small subunit ribosomal RNA", at positions 524 to 776 of the family's 1533-position model. The record is from RNAcentral.